Long non-coding RNA from Daucus carota subsp. sativus, 641 nucleotides. RefSeq lists it as uncharacterized. The record is from RefSeq and is a predicted model, not a curated record. NCBI's taxonomy places the organism in Eukaryota, Viridiplantae, Streptophyta, Magnoliopsida, Apiales, Apiaceae. The transcript has 3 exons.
CAUUUCACCUGAAUGAAAUGAUUUUGGGCUGAAUGGAAUGGUCAUUCCGGGUUGAAUGAAAAAUUAUGUCGUUUGAUUAGGCCAGGUGAAUGGAAUUAGCUAUUCCGAGUUCAUUCCGUUUGGGCCAAAUAAAAAUCAACUCAUUCAUUUUAAAACACCUGGUAUAGAUUCAUUUCUUUUGUCAAAUUAAAAUGCCGGGCGUGGAAAAACAGACGACCUCUCCUCUCUAACCUAGCGACUGUUCUCCGAUGCUAUCUCUCUCUACGAACAGCGCUCUCUCUCUCUCUCCCAAUUAGCGCUCAAGCACACUCUCUCUCUCAAUUAGCUCUCUCGGUUUCGACUACUUCUUCAGAAAGUCGCCUGUUUCAUCAUUUGACAGGAACUGUCACCAUGCGCAGCAACCUGUAUGGCAGGAAGAUAAUUGCAUGUCUGGAGAAGGCAAAGAAUAACGCGAUGUGGACAUUGAACUGCUGUUGCAAAAACUGAAAAUAAAUUUGAUGUUGUUCUGUUGUUUUUACAUGGUCAAGUAGCGAAACUUUGGUGUGUAGUUGUUGAAAUAAGUGCCUUGUAUUAGUAUCGUAAACUUUGAUGGGUGCUUGUAUGAGACUUUUUGAUUUUUAUUUUAAACUUAUUUUGCUGAA